UUGUUAGGGAAUAGAGAUCUAUAAUGGACAUAUGCCCGAAUACUCGAACGUCAGUCAAAUAUAGCCGUUAGUUAAGUCUAACUUAAAGAUAAGCAUUGCUCAAAUAUAACUGGAAUACUGAAACGCCAGUUAAUUCAAAUUAAGUUGUAGUUAGCUGAGCAGCCGUUAAAUGUUUGCUUUAUGGCAACAUUCUGUACAAUAAGCAUGUUCUCGAUUACAGAAUAAAUUAUAUAUUCGUUUCACGCAGCGUGAUUUGAUCAAAAAACUAAUUCGAUAAUAAUUGAUGUACUAAAAUUGAAAUAAUUUGGCCGUAAUAAAUUUUAUUACAUUCUUGUACAUAUUUUACUAAUAUAUAUCAUAAUAAAAAAAUUAUUUUUAAGUACCUACACCCAAUUAUAAUAUUAAGUUAAAACAUAAAUUAUUACGACUAGAUUAUCGUGUGGUGAAACGUAAAAGUCAAUUGACUUUGACAUAAUUGAAUGACACGAUGCGCGCAUUGGAUGCGCGAAAUUGUCUCCUGCUUAAAAUUUUAUUGUUCAUUAUUAUAAUUCGAUUUUUGUUAUGGAAGAAUAAAAGAAGCGUGGGUCCAAUUAUACGAUCGCUGAAAAUGAUAUCCUUUUAGAGCUGAUCAAGAAAUAUAAUUAUAGUAUAGGGAGCACGGUGUCCAACGAUACAAGACACUCCCAUCCCAUCGCCGCCUAUAGUGUUAUAGUUAUAAUAAUAAAACUAUUUUAAUAUGAUUG
Spodoptera frugiperda (fall armyworm) is the source of this 743-nucleotide long non-coding RNA. RefSeq lists it as uncharacterized. NCBI's taxonomy places the organism in Eukaryota, Metazoa, Arthropoda, Insecta, Lepidoptera, Noctuidae. The record is from RefSeq and is a predicted model, not a curated record. The transcript has 2 exons.